AGAUCUGAAAACGGAUAUUGGAAAUGUAACCAAAGACGUUGAAAAGUUAAAAAGAGAAAUUUCAAAUAAAAAUGAUUUGGCAGAAGCUAGUACAGACCAGCUAAACCAAAUUAUUGGAGAAUACAAAUUUUUGAAAAAUAAAUUAAAUGAUAUUGACGAAGAAAGGACAAAUUUAGAAACUGCUAUAGAACGCCAGAAAGCUAUUCUUGAGACACAUCAUCUCAGCUUUAAUUCUGCUCAAAAGAAAAUAGAAUACAUCGAGCAAGAAAUUGAAGAACAAAAAGAUUCCGAACAGGAACUUAAACAUCGAAUAAAAGAAAUAACUGAUAAUAUACACAGGAUUACUAACAAAAUAUCAGAGGAAGAGGCCGUUUUUAUAAAAUCCAAUAAAGAACUGAAAAGAACAAACAUCGAAGUCCGAACAGCUAAAGAUAAAUUUGAAAAUCUGCUGAAACUUUAUGAAAGAGC
Molecule: long non-coding RNA, 468 nt
Organism: Octopus sinensis (East Asian common octopus)
Lineage: Eukaryota; Metazoa; Mollusca; Cephalopoda; Octopoda; Octopodidae
Exons: 3
Source: RefSeq, a predicted model, not a curated record